UGGGGAAUAUUGCGCAAUGGGCGAAAGCCUGACGCAGCGACGCCGCGUGAGGGAUGAAGGUUUUCGGAUUGUAAACCUCUGUCAGAAGGGAAGAAACCGCACUGUGCUAAUCAGCAGUGCCUUGACGGUACCUUCAAAGGAAGCACCGGCUAACUCCGUGCCAGCAGCCGCGGUAAUACGGAGGGUGCAAGCGUUAAUCGGAAUUACUGGGCGUAAAGCGCACGUAGGCUGCUUUGUAAGUCAGGGGUGAAAUCCCACGGCUCAACCGUGGAACUUCCUUUGAUACUGCUUAGCUUGAAUCCGGGAGAAGGUGGCGGAAUUCCAGGUGUAGAAGUGAAAUCCGUAGAUAUCUGGAGGAACAUCAGUGGCGAAGGCGGCCACCUGGACCGGUAUUAACGCUGAGGUGCGAAAGCGUGGGGAGCGAACAGG
This 429-nucleotide ribosomal RNA is filed under the name Fusobacteriota bacterium. Its description in RNAcentral is "Fusobacteria bacterium partial 16S ribosomal RNA". It matches the Rfam family "Bacterial small subunit ribosomal RNA", at positions 355 to 776 of the family's 1533-position model. The record is from RNAcentral. Lineage: Bacteria; Fusobacteriati; Fusobacteriota.